Molecule: ribosomal RNA, 271 nt
Filed under: uncultured bacterium
Lineage: Bacteria
Description: partial 16S ribosomal RNA
Rfam family: Bacterial small subunit ribosomal RNA
Source: RNAcentral
UACAGAGGGGGCAAGCGUUGUCCGGAAUUACUGGGCGUACAGCGCGCGCAGGCGGGCCGUGACGUGCCGUGUGACAGCUGCCGGCUUAACCGGCAGAGGCCAGGGUAGACGCACGACCUGGAGGCAGGGAGAGGGAUGUGGAAUGCCCGGUGGAGCGGUGAAAUGCGUAGAGAUCGGGCGGAACACCAGCGGCGCAGGCGGCAUCCUGGCCGAACACUGACGCUGAGACGCGAAAGCGCGGGGAGCGAACGGGAUUAGAUACCCGGGUAGU